Molecule: long non-coding RNA, 353 nt
Organism: Arabidopsis thaliana (thale cress)
Lineage: Eukaryota; Viridiplantae; Streptophyta; Magnoliopsida; Brassicales; Brassicaceae
Product: other RNA
Exons: 1
Source: RefSeq
CCCCCCAUCUCUAAAAUAUCUCCAAGCAAACUAAAGAAUCGCCCUCAAAGGUAAAAGUUCAGUUGCAAUUGUCAUCAGAAAAAAAUCCAAUAUCAAAUUUUUUUCCUAGAAAUCCUUAUGUGCCCGUCAUCUCCUUUUCCCCGUCCAUAUGAUUCUUGCGCCUCCCAAAAGGCUCUGCCAUUUGCAUCAAUGCCAAAACCUCUAAGCAGUACUAUAUGUCCUCUAUCCUCAUACUUUCUUCAAGGAGACUUUCAUAUUCAUCAAAAUCAUCUUCAACAUCAGGUUCAGGAUCAUGAUAAUCCUCAUACUUGUGCAAAGUGACUUCAAGAGCUCUGUAUCUUGGGACAUUUGCA